This 484-nucleotide ribosomal RNA is filed under the name uncultured bacterium. Its description in RNAcentral is "bacterial SSU rRNA". It matches the Rfam family "Bacterial small subunit ribosomal RNA", at positions 15 to 507 of the family's 1533-position model. The record is from RNAcentral.
GAUCAUGGCUCAGAUUGAACGCUGGCGGCAUGCCUUACACAUGCAAGUCGAACGGCAGCGCGGGGCAACCUGGCGGCGAGUGGCGAACGGGUGAGUAAUAUAUCGGAACGUGCCCUGGAGUGGGGGAUAACGUAGCGAAAGUUACGCUAAUACCACAUACGAUCCAAGGAUGAAAGCAAUACCGUGGGUAUUGCGCUCCUGGAUGGGCUCAUGUCCUAUCAGCUUGUUGGUGAGGUAACGGCUCACCCAAAGGCUUCGACGGGUAGCUGGUCUGAGAGGACGAUCAGCCACACUGGCACUGCGACACGGGCCAGACUCCUACGGGAGGCAGCAGUAAGGAAUAUUGCGCAAUGGACGAAAGUCUGACGCAGCGACGCCGCGUGGGGGAUGAAGGUCUUCGGAUUGUAAACCCCUUUCGGGAGGGAAGAUGGAGUGGGUAACCACUUGGACGGUACCUCCAGAAGCAGCCACGGCUAACUUCGUG